This 268-nucleotide ribosomal RNA is filed under the name Salmonella enterica subsp. enterica serovar Senftenberg. RNAcentral describes it as "partial 23S ribosomal RNA". It matches the Rfam family "Bacterial large subunit ribosomal RNA", at positions 1252 to 1524 of the family's 2925-position model. The record is from RNAcentral. Lineage: Bacteria; Pseudomonadati; Pseudomonadota; Gammaproteobacteria; Enterobacterales; Enterobacteriaceae. RNAcentral also lists the same sequence under 5 other names.
GAAGGUGGCCUGUGAGGGUUGCUGGAGGUAUCAGAAGUGCGAAUGCUGACAUAAGUAACGAUAAAGCGGGUGAAAAGCCCGCUCGCCGGAAGACCAAGGGUUCCUGUCCAACGUUAAUCGGGGCAGGGUGAGUCGACCCCUAAGGCGAGGCCGAAAGGCGUAGUCGAUGGGAAACGGGUUAAUAUUCCCGUACUUGGUGUUACUGCGAAGGGGGGACGGAGAAGGCUAUGUUGGCCGGGCGACGGUUGUCCCGGUUUAAGCGUGUAGG